CCUACGGGUGGCAGCAGUAGGGAAUAUUGCUCAAUGGGGGAAACCCUGAUGCAGCACCGCCGCGUGGAGGAUGAAGGUUUUCGGAUUGUAAAGUCCUUUUGUUAGAGAAGAUAAUGACGGUAUCUUGCGAAUAAGCACCGGCUAACUCCGUGCCCGCAGCCGCGGUCAUACGGAGGGUGCCAGCGUUACUCGGAAUCACUGGGCGUAAAGAGCGCGUAGACGGGAUAGCAAGUCAGAUGUGAAAGCCUAGGGCUUAACCCGAGAACUGCAUUUGAAACUGUUAUUCUAGAGUAUGGGAGAGGUAGGUGGAAGUCUUGGUGUAGGGGUAAAAUCCGUAGAGAUCAAGAGGAAUACUCAUUGCGAAGGCGACCUGCUAGAACAUAACUGACGCUGAUGCGCGAAAGCGUGGGGAGCAAACAGGAUUAGAUACCCGGGUAGUC
Molecule: ribosomal RNA, 440 nt
Filed under: uncultured bacterium
Lineage: Bacteria
Description: partial 16S ribosomal RNA
Rfam family: Bacterial small subunit ribosomal RNA
Source: RNAcentral